GUCCUCAGCGCCCCCUCUCCAUCCAUGGAGUCGCCUGCCCCUCUGCUCGGUCUCCAUGGCACUCGGCGCCUGAGCUCCUCCAGGGUGCGCGGCCUUCCUCAGCGCCUCUGCUCCCUCCGUCAAUGGUGCUUGUGCCCCUACUCCAUCGACGCGCCGAUCGACGCCAUGGCGGGCUCCAUCUCCAGCACCGCCCGCCGUCUGCCCAGGACCGACUCACCUUCAGUCACGCGCUCACCUCCCCUACGUGCGCUGCUCUUCCCUCCGCGCGCGAGCCUCCUCAACUCUGGCGCGCUCUCCUCCAUCCAUGGUGCGUCCCUGCUUCGCCCCUUCUCCAGCAUGUGCUCAGCGCCUCCCAGUCGCACCACGGAGCAAACCUGG
This 378-nucleotide unclassified non-coding RNA is filed under the name Zea mays. RNAcentral's name for it is "misc RNA Zm00001eb045440". The record is from RNAcentral. Lineage: Eukaryota; Viridiplantae; Streptophyta; Magnoliopsida; Poales; Poaceae.